AAUAUUGCACAAUGGGGGAAACCCUGAUGCAGCAACGCCGCGUGUGCGAUGAAGGCCUUCGGUUCGUAAAGCUCUGUCCUAAGGGAAGAUAAUGACGGUACCUUAGGAGGAAGCCCCGGCUAACUACGUGCCAGCAGCCGCGGUAAUACGUAGGGGGCAAGCGUUGUCCGGAAUUACUGGGCGUAAAGGGUGCGUAGGCGGCCGAUUAAGUCAGAUGUGAAAUACCACGGCUCAACUGUGGGGGUGCAUUUGAAACUGGUUGGCUUGAGUGCAGGAGAGGAAAGUGGAAUUCCUAGUGUAGCGGUGAAAUGCGUAGAGAUUAGGAGGAACACCAGUGGCGAAGGCGACUUUCUGGACUGUAACUGACGCUGAGGCACGAAAGCGUGGGGAGCGAACAGG
RNAcentral lists this ribosomal RNA (399 nucleotides) under uncultured bacterium. RNAcentral describes it as "partial 16S ribosomal RNA". It matches the Rfam family "Bacterial small subunit ribosomal RNA", at positions 360 to 776 of the family's 1533-position model. The record is from RNAcentral.